This 600-nucleotide long non-coding RNA is filed under the name Gadus morhua (Atlantic cod). Its description in RNAcentral is "lncRNA (ENSGMOG00000026815.1)". The record is from RNAcentral. Lineage: Eukaryota; Metazoa; Chordata; Actinopteri; Gadiformes; Gadidae.
UGUAGAUGUUGUUUUAUUUCUUUAUUUAGUUUAUAAAGGACAGUGUGCACUUAAAUUAAUCAUUCAUGAGAAUGUGUACAUGUGUACAUCUGCAUAACUGUGAAAACGUUGAGAUUGUAGAAAUUGGUUGUAGACCUACACAUUUUAUGCUACAUGACUCAUUACUCCCAUCUUCUUUUUCUUAAUGACUACUAAGUGAAAACGCUGCCAGACAAGUGACUAGUAAAUUUCCUCUGUACUAUUUCAGGCACCCUGUGAAGAACCAUCUGACCCAAACUUGACGAAAAGUGAGCCAGUCUCAGAAAAGGACGUCUGUGAUGGGGUUGAUAUGAUGGCAACGGACAUCUGUGAUGGGGUUGAUAUGAUGGCAGCGGUUAGUUCAACUCCCGCAACAUCCAAAGACGACACUUGCCACCAUAUACUUACCAGCGCAUUUGUCAACGCUUUGGACCAUUGUGAAGCUUGCAAUGGACCUGUCUCCGCUCUAAGAUGGCUUGGUUACACAUGCAAAUUGUGUUCAAGGUCGUGGCACAAAUCCUGCUUUAUCAAGAUGAAUCCGUUGCAGGUAUGUUCAUUGUCUUCUAUUCCAUUUUAAAUUUG